Long non-coding RNA from Cercocebus atys (sooty mangabey), 847 nucleotides. RefSeq lists it as uncharacterized. The transcript has 3 exons. The record is from RefSeq and is a predicted model, not a curated record. NCBI's taxonomy places the organism in Eukaryota, Metazoa, Chordata, Mammalia, Primates, Cercopithecidae.
CAGACUGGUCUUCAACUCCUGACCUCGUGAUCCACCCUGCUGGGAUUACAGGCGUGAGCCACUGCGUGUGGCCUCUGGGCACCUUUUGAAGGUGGGAGGUGGCGGUGGGCUGGGGCGGCCUCUGGGAAGGGCAGGCGGCCUUGGCCAGGCCCCUCACCGCCGCCCCCACAGCCAGAUGAGAAGUACGACGUGGGAGACAGGGAGCACUUGGAUACCCUCAGGGACCCAGUGGAGCCCGACGAUGGAGAAGGCGGGGGCUGUUGUGCACCUCAAGCAGGUAUCAGAAGCAGAGCGAAGGCAGCAUACCUCAGCGUUUUCUUCUCUGCACUUACAAGAAAGAUCAAAGACUUUAAGACUUUCACUAUUCCUUCUACCGCUAUCUACUACGCACUUCAAAGAGGAACCAGGAGUACGGGAGGAGCAUGAAAGUGGACAAGGAGCGUGACCGUUGAAGCACAGCACCACAGGGAGGGGUUUCGGCCUCCGGAUGACUGGUGGGCAGGCCUGGAUAAUAUCCAGCCUCCCACAAGAAGCUGGUGGAGCAGAGCGUUCCCUGACUCCUCCAAGCAAAGGAGACUCCCUUUCGCGGUCUGCUAAGUAACGGGUGCCUUCCCAGACACUGGCGUUACCACUUGACCAAGGAGCCCUCACGCGGCCCUUAUGUGGGCGUGACACAGGGCUCAUCUCUUGCCUUCUAGGUCACUUCUCACAAUGUCCCUUCAGCACCUGACCCUACACCCACCCGUUAUUCCUAGGUUAUAUUAGUAAUGCAACAAGGAGUAAUAUUAAAAGCUAAUGAUUUUUUUUUUUUUUUGAGACGAAGUCUGGCUCUGUCGCCCAGGCUGGA